UACGGAGGGUGCGAGCGUUAUCCGGAAUUACUGGGUUUAAAGGGUGCGUAGGCGGCCCUGUAAGUCAGGAGUGAAAGUUUGCGGCUCAACCGUAAAAUUGCUUUUGAUACUGCGGGGCUAGAAUUAGGAUGAGGUCAGCGGAAUGUGGCAUGUAGCGGUGAAAUGCAUAGAUAUGCCAUGGAACACCAAUUGCGAAGGCAGCUGGCUAGACCUGGAUUGACGCUGAGGCACGAAAGCGUGGGGAGCGAACAGG
RNAcentral lists this ribosomal RNA (253 nucleotides) under uncultured bacterium. RNAcentral's name for it is "partial 16S ribosomal RNA". It matches the Rfam family "Bacterial small subunit ribosomal RNA", at positions 524 to 776 of the family's 1533-position model. The record is from RNAcentral.